This 377-nucleotide unclassified non-coding RNA is filed under the name fungal sp. Its description in RNAcentral is "partial internal transcribed spacer region". The stretch from base 1 to 46 matches the Rfam family "Eukaryotic small subunit ribosomal RNA", at positions 1786 to 1831 of the family's 1831-position model. Lineage: Eukaryota; Fungi. The record is from RNAcentral.
AAGUCGUAACAAGGUUUCCGUAGGUGAACCUGCGGAAGGAUCAUUAACACGUAUCCACGUAUCAACUCUUCGUGCUUGUUGUUUUGGAUGUACCUGACUUGGUUUCAAUGUGUGCACGCAUUUCCGCGGCUGCUCUAGGUGAAUGGUGUUUUCUCACGAAAACGCCGGAGCAUGUCUGCGGGCUGUACCACUUACCAGUCAGGUCUUACCAUUCAAUUGAUGUUCACCAUUCAACAUCUCUUGAAUACUUCUAUGACAAACCCCUUUCAAACAUUAUACUAACGUUUUUUAGGUGAUUGUGAGUCUUCGGAUUCUAAUAUCUUCCUAAAAUUUUACGAAAUGCUAAACAACUCUUAGCAACGGAUAUCUUGGUUCUC